This 119-nucleotide ribosomal RNA is filed under the name Capitella teleta. Lineage: Eukaryota; Metazoa; Annelida; Polychaeta; Capitellidae. The record is from RNAcentral.
GUCUACGGCCAUACCACGUUGAAAACACCGGUUCUCGUCUGUUCACCGAAGUUAAGCAACGUCGGGCCCGGUUAGUACUUGGAUUGGUGACCGCCUGGGAAUACCGGGUGCUGUAGACU